Non-coding RNA from Populus trichocarpa (black cottonwood), 149 nucleotides. The record is from Rfam. NCBI's taxonomy places the organism in Eukaryota, Viridiplantae, Streptophyta, Magnoliopsida, Malpighiales, Salicaceae.
UAAUCUUUUUGGGUCUCAUCAUCUAGUUAUGGAAGAUCCACACUUGAGUGAACCGAAUCACUUGUUAUCGUAAAUCCGACUAUAUUUUUUUUAAACUCCAAAAACUCUCUCUCCAACUUGUUUUUAACUAAAAACAUCUCAAAAAAAAA